GCCGGGUUAGCUCAGUUGGUUAGAGCAUGGUGCUAAUAACGCCACAGUUCACAGGUUCAAUCCCUGCUUACUGCA
RNAcentral lists this transfer RNA (75 nucleotides) under Pelecanus crispus (Dalmatian pelican). It matches the Rfam family "tRNA". From Rfam's summary of the family: Transfer RNA (tRNA) molecules are approximately 80 nucleotides in length. Lineage: Eukaryota; Metazoa; Chordata; Aves; Pelecaniformes; Pelecanidae. The record is from Rfam by way of RNAcentral.